AUAGACAGAUUGAACUGAAGAGUUUGAUCCUGGCUCAGAUUGAACGCUGGCGGAAUGCUUUACACAUGCAAGUCGAGCGGCAGCGCGGGGGCAAC
RNAcentral lists this ribosomal RNA (95 nucleotides) under Rhodocyclales bacterium GWA2_65_19. RNAcentral's name for it is "partial 16S ribosomal RNA". The stretch from base 12 to 95 matches the Rfam family "Bacterial small subunit ribosomal RNA", at positions 1 to 83 of the family's 1533-position model. The record is from RNAcentral. Lineage: Bacteria; Pseudomonadati; Pseudomonadota; Betaproteobacteria; Rhodocyclales.